GGGUAACACAUAUCACUAAUGAUAUUCAUUUUUACAGUAAUCCAUCUUCCAGGAUAUCAUAAUCAGGGCAAAAAAAUUAAAAAGGAAAUGAAAAGAAAAGAAGAAAAGGUUAAGGCAUUAGAUACGCACAAGGAAAGCUAUCUACUGCAAAAACUCAACCAUUGCACUAGAGAAGAAGCUUAACAAAACAGAAUCAGACUCAUGCAGUUACAGUGAAUCUUCUUUUCUUUUUAACUCGCCAACCGCUACGUUGUUAAUGACAGUAAACACAGAUUUUCC
This 279-nucleotide unclassified non-coding RNA is filed under the name Hevea brasiliensis (rubber tree). The record is from RNAcentral. Lineage: Eukaryota; Viridiplantae; Streptophyta; Magnoliopsida; Malpighiales; Euphorbiaceae.